Molecule: RNA transcript, 2987 nt
Organism: Myxocyprinus asiaticus (Chinese sucker)
Lineage: Eukaryota; Metazoa; Chordata; Actinopteri; Cypriniformes; Catostomidae
Gene name: KRR1 small subunit processome component homolog
Exons: 6
Source: RefSeq, a predicted model, not a curated record
AUGGCGGCGCCCACAGAAAGCGUGGGUGAAACGCCAGCAAAUUAAAAAAGACAAAAAAAAAACAAAAGUCAAGCAGAAGAGACUGAACUGUUGACAGUGCCAGAUGGCUGGAAAGAGCCUGCGUUCACCCAAGCGGACAAUCCAAAAGGUUUAUUGGAGGAGAGCAGCUUUGCCACACUUCCCCAAGUACAGAGAAGCGUUUCUGAAAGAAUGCUGGCCGCUGGUGCAAAAAGCACUCGGAGAUAUUUUCAUCAGUGCCACACUGGACCAGAUUGAAGGCAGUAUGACUGUGAACACCACCAAGAAGUCGUUCGAGCCCUACGCCAUCCUCAGAGUGAGAGAUCUCAUCAAGAAGUGUGCCGUUUCAACAGGCUGUUAGGAUACUUGAAGAUGACAUGGCAUGUGAUAUAAAAAUCGGGACUCUAAUGUGAAACAGAGAGCGUUUUGUGAAGAGAAGACAGAGACUGAGCAGAUGAUAGACACUGGAGCUUCUCACCAACUGUUACGUUAUGGUUCAGAGAAACACGGUUUCUGCUCUGGGACCGUACCGCGGUUUAAAAGAAGUGAGAACAUCUGUCCAUAUUUGUUGACAAACACAUGAUCAAACUAAGCUCUUUGUGUUUUUACCUCAAUGAGUACCUUCCUAAUAAAUAGUACAUUGUGUUUAGUUGAUUGCUUGAUAGCGCAGAUGAUAUAUAUGCCUUUUUUUUUUUUUUUAUACAUGUUUUGCACUGAUUUUGUGCAACAACAACAACAACAAAAAACUGCUGCAUUUUGCAGAGUAGAUUUAAACAUGGCAAAAUGGUUUUGUGUUGGCCUAAUAAUUAUUUAGCGCUCUCGCUCUUUUCUACAAGUAUGGAAAGUCUUACUGGACACGAUGAAGAACAUUCACCCCAUUUACAACAUAAAGGUACAUAGAAACGCUGGAGUCUUGAGUAUCUUAUUUGCAAAUCAAGCAUUACUUUGUAAAGUGUGUCUAAUGUGCUGUGGUCUGGGCUUGUAACUGAAAGGUUGGUGGUUCAAACCCCACAUGAGUGGUUUUAAUUAGAAGUAGACCGAUAUAUCGGUUUUACCAAUUAAUCGUGCCAAUAGUUGCUUUUUGGAACUAUCGUUAUCGGCAAAAAUCUAUACCGAUAGUUUUUUCAUAAUUUUGUAAUUUCAAAAUAAGAGUCCCCGGUGUAUUUUAGGCUUGUUUAUACUGAGUCCCGUGUUAUGCGUCACAUCUUUAUUUUUUCUAGUUAUUAUUGGGAUUUUGGUUGAACAAUAAACUGCAUCUGGGAUUAUAUUCAUUUUUGACUCUUUGUCCGUGCUCGUCAUAGUAAAGAAAGAAUAAUUAAACUUUUUGUCAUUCUAUAAAUUGAUUUUUGAAAACUAUUGGUCGAUUAAUCGGUUAUCUGCCUUUCCCAUCAUCUUAGUUAUGGGUAUCGGCAAAAUCCGCUAUUGGUUGACCUCUAGUUUUAAUAAACUCUUUGUUUGCCAACGAUUAAGACACUUAACCUCAUGUUACUCUAAAUGAACUGUUUCUAUAAUACUGUAUGUACUGUAACUAUACGUCACUUUCUAUAAACGUGUUGUUUGUUUAAACACACACGAUUCAAUCCGUUCAGACGCUAAUGAUCAAACGCGAGCUCGUGAACGACCCAGAGCUGUGCACUCAGAACUGGAAGAGAUUCCUGCCCAACUUCCUUCAUAAGAGUCUAUCCAAAAUGCAAACAGCUCAAGAAGAAGGCGGCGAAGGGGUACACGCCGUUCCCCCCACCUCAGCCCAAGUGCAAGAAGAAACAGGCUGAAGUUUUAUCAAAGAGACAAGAGGAGCGGCAGAAAGCUUUUAUUCCUCCUAAAGAGAAACCAGCGCUGAAGAAGACCAAACGUUCUUUUCCAUACAAUGAAAGUGAAUCAGGGCUGAGCGGCAACAAUAACGAAGAAGAACACCAAAGAUUUCUGAUGCAUAACCUGAUAUGAUCUUUCGAUCUCUUCAUUGCAGCUAAAACAGAAAACAAAAUAGAUGUUCAAAUCAUCGAAGAAAAAGUGAAGAAGGCAAAAUCUAAAAAGCUUGGUGCUUCUCCGGUGAACCUCAAAACGCCUUCAGUUAAAGACAAGAAACAGAAGAAUAUCAAGAACUAACCUGAUUCACUUGUGUUUGAACUCUAUUGGACUUUUGCGAACCCUGGUGAAACAUUCUCACCACCAUCAAUUAAUGAUGAAUCAUGAGCUCUUGGGGUUUAUAUAAAAUGUGUUAUAAAAGAUGUGUUUGUAUAAAAAGGUCUGUUUUGCAUGCUUAUCUGCUUUCAACAUUAUUUUCAAACUGUUCAAAACAUUUGGGACUUGAAGAUGAGACACUCAAGCACUGUCGAUAUGAGAUGAUGUGAAUUAACUGAAUGAAAACACAAGAUCAACAAAAAUGUCCCUUCAACCACAUUAAUGCAAAUUUGUCACAUUAUUUUCACUUUAAAAUAAUGUGUAGAGAUUGAUAGUUUGGUACUGUCAGGAGCAAUUAAAAACAAUGACCACCAAUUGGCAUGGAUUUGUUUAAACGAAGCACUUAACAUCCAGACAUUGUCAUGUGACAGACUGUGAGCUUAUAUAAUUUUUUUACAUGGCUUUGGAAAUCCAAGUCUGUGAGAUUAAUAUGUAAGCCCGUAAACACAAGGCAGAACUUUAUUCCCUUUCCCAAUGGAAGCCCGUUUCCGCAGAGGAGUAAAUGGCUGUUACCACAAAAAAUCAUUUAGACUCGUCCCGCCUUUUCUUUAUAAAAAGCAAAAAUCGUGGUUACAGUGAGGCACUUAGAGUGCAAGUCAAUGGGGCCAAUCCAUAAAUAUUAAAAUACUCACUGUUUCAAAAGUAAAGCCACAAGAAGAAACAAUGUGUUAACUUGAUUUUAUUGUGAUAAAAUCACUUGACACUUUUCUGUGUAGUUAUAGCCAAGUUGUCAUGAUGCUGUAAAUUCUAAAACCCAAAAUGAAAAUAAAAAUGACGAUUUAAACAAC